AUCAUUUGUGAUGAAACUUAGGGAAAUUUCAAAGACAAAAACUGAUAGUGAGCUGUAGUGACAAGUUCAGAAAGUCAGAGUUGGUCUGGGUUUCUCUGUUUGCUGGGGUCUGGGUUGGGAGGAGGAGAAAGUUGCAUUAGGUGGGGUCUGUAUCAGUGUGUGAGAGGGGUUGUGCAUCAUCCCUAGUGACACAUGAGGGCUGUUGUUCUGUCACUCCCAAGGUGAAUGUGGGCUGAGUUCCACGGUGUGCUGAUGGGGGCACUAAUAAGGUCCAAGUGUUAUCUGUGGGUCAGAAAAGAAUUUGUGAAACCUCAAAAAUGGGUGUUGUGCUUGAGCCUCCAGGUAAGUUUCUGUGUACCUCCUAGUGCCAGGUACGAGCUUCUUCAUCGUGCCAGCUUCAAAAACAUUGGAACCUCAGGGAGAAAGGGGCAUGUGCUUCCAGGCUGGAUUUCAGCUGGGACACAGCGUCUCAUCUGCUCACAGAGUGGCUCUGCUGUGUCCUGUGGGGACACAGCAUCUCAUCUGCUCACAGAGGGGCUCUGCUGUGACCUGUGGGGACACAGCUUCUCAUCUGCUCACAGAGGGGCUCUGCUGUGUCCUGUCUCUGCGUACACACGUGGUGUGUACAUUCUGGUUUGGGAUUAGGUGUGUGCCCUCAGUUCCUGUACAGCUGGUGUGCCUCAGAGUUAAACACUUUUUAUCAUGAAAUACAGGUAAUUGGAUGGCUUCAACACUGAGCAGACAGCUGUGUAUUUAAAUGUGACCUUAUACCCAGUCAGUCUCAUAACCUGCAUUUUGAAUAUGGUAUUUAGGUAAAUGCUGCGCUGAGCCUGAGGAAUUGUUAAAACUGACACCACAAGGGCAUGCUAAUGCAAUUAGAUGACUUGCAGUGUUGAGACUUGGCCUUUGUUUGGGCUCAGUUGCAGUUUAACCAGAUGCAAAAAUAUGUAGACAGUAACUUGUACACUGCUGAAACAAGGCUAGCAGGGCAAAGGUGAGAUCCACGUGUCAGAGGUGGUGCUACAGACAGCUGCCACAGGAUCUGCCAGUGACACCUCAUAUUUCCAGCUGAGAGAGGACUGGGAGGAGGCUUCAAAGCAGUGAGUACCGUCUGGACAUGUCUGUGAGAACUUGCGAUCUGUUGUUUGGGGUGGGGGGGAUGUUAUUACUGGAAGGUUGUUCACUGUCUGUGUGUUGAGGUUAUCUUGACCCAGGAGGAGAGGCUCCAAACGCCUGAUCUGUACCAUGCUCAUGCUGCCACGGCGAAUCUGCUGCUUUGCCCUUUUGCUGCUUGGAGGUGCUACGUAGAUGUCAAGUCUCAUUCAGCAAAUGAUGCAAGGAUUUGGAAAGCAGAAUAAUGAGUAGAGACGGUGUCCUGCCAGUAAUUGCUGGAAGCAGAGAAGGGAGCUGUAGGAUAUUGGCGUGUGGAGAAGCACAGAGAUAUUCCCACUCUGGCUGACAGUUUCUAAUAAAGAUAUUUUUAUUGUAAUUGAAAAUUAUCUCAUGAUUCCAUUUCCUGUUCCAAUCAGCAUUGUUUUAGCCUCAUUUCAAGCGUGAUUCUGCUGAAAAACACUCUGUCCAAUGGCCAGGGGUAUCUAUUGGUAU
Long non-coding RNA from Prinia subflava (tawny-flanked prinia), 1605 nucleotides. RefSeq lists it as uncharacterized. The transcript has 3 exons. The record is from RefSeq and is a predicted model, not a curated record. Lineage: Eukaryota; Metazoa; Chordata; Aves; Passeriformes; Cisticolidae.